RNAcentral lists this ribosomal RNA (253 nucleotides) under uncultured bacterium. RNAcentral's name for it is "partial 16S ribosomal RNA". It matches the Rfam family "Bacterial small subunit ribosomal RNA", at positions 524 to 776 of the family's 1533-position model. The record is from RNAcentral.
UACGUAGGUGGCGAGCGUUGUUCGGAAUUACUGGGCGUAAAGGGCGCGUAGGCGGUUCGCUAAGUUGGAUGUGAAAACUCUGGGCUCAACCCAGAGCCUGCAUCCAAAACUGGCGGGCUAGAGUUCUGGAGGGGGUAGCGGAAUUCCUGGUGUAGCGGUGAAAUGCGUAGAUAUCAGGAGGAACACCGGUGGCGAAGGCGGCUACCUGGACAGAAACUGACGCUGAGGCGCGAAAGCUAGGGGAGCAAACAGG